This 484-nucleotide ribosomal RNA is filed under the name uncultured bacterium. Its description in RNAcentral is "partial 16S ribosomal RNA". It matches the Rfam family "Bacterial small subunit ribosomal RNA", at positions 30 to 507 of the family's 1533-position model. The record is from RNAcentral.
AUUGAACGCUGGCGGCAGGCCUAACACAUGCAAGUCGAGCGGAUGAAGGGAGCUUGCUCCUGGAUUCAGCGGCGGACGGGUGAGUAAUGCCUAGGAAUCUGCCUUGUAGUGGGGGAUAACGUCCGGACACGGGCGCUAAUACCGCAUACGUCCUGAGGGAGAAAGUGGGGGAUCUUCGGACCUCACGCUAUCAGAUGAGCCUAGGUCGGAUUAGCUAGUUGGUGGGGUAAAGGCCUACCAAGGCGACGAUCCGUAACUGGUCUGAGAGGAUGAUCAGUCACACUGGAACUGAGACACGGUCCAGACUCCUACGGGAGGCAGCAGUGGGGAAUAUUGGACAAUGGGCGAAAGCCUGAUCCAGCCAUGCCGCGUGUGUGAAGAAGGUCUUCGGAUUGUAAAGCACUUUAAGUUGGGAGGAAGGGCAGUAAGUUAAUACCUUGCUGUUUUGACGUUACCAACAGAAUAAGCACCGGCUAACUUCGUG